UUGGAGGGCAAGUCUGGUGCCAGCAGCCGCGGUAAUUCCAGCUCCAAUAGCGUAUAUUAAAGUUGUUGCAGUUAAAAAGCUCGUAGUUGAAUUUCGAGACCGGCUUAUUGGUCGUGCUAUUGUACGUACUGGUAUAAUCGGUUUCUCCUUUCUGACGAACUAUAAUGCCAUUAAUUUGGUGUUUUAGGGAAUCAGGACUGUUACUUUGAAAAAAUUAGAGUGUUUAAAGCAGGCUCACGCUUGAAUACAUUAGCAUGGAAUAACGGAAUAGGACGUUUGAUUCUAUUUUGUUGGUUUCUAGGAUCGACGUAAUGAUUAAUAGGGAUAGUUGGGGGCAUUAGUAUUCAAUUGUCAGAGGUGAAAUUCUUGGAUUUAUUGAAGACUAACUACUGCGAAAGCAUUUGCCAAGGAUGUUUUCAUUAAUCAAGAACGAAAGUUAAGGGAUCGAAGACGAUCAGAUACCGUCGUAGUCUUAACCAUAAACUAUGCCGACUAGGGAUCGGAUGAUGUUAAUUUUUUAAUGACUCAUUCGGCGCCUUACGGGAAAC
Molecule: ribosomal RNA, 548 nt
Filed under: uncultured Glomeromycotina
Lineage: Eukaryota; Fungi; Glomeromycota
Description: SSU rRNA
Rfam family: Eukaryotic small subunit ribosomal RNA
Source: RNAcentral